This 458-nucleotide ribosomal RNA is filed under the name uncultured Planctomycetota bacterium. RNAcentral's name for it is "bacterial SSU rRNA". It matches the Rfam family "Bacterial small subunit ribosomal RNA", at positions 480 to 937 of the family's 1533-position model. Lineage: Bacteria; Pseudomonadati; Planctomycetota. The record is from RNAcentral.
CCUGGAGGAAGCACGGGCUAAGUUCGUGCCAGCAGCCGCGGUAAGACGAACCGUGCGAACGUUGUUCGGAAUCACUGGGCUUAAAGGGCGCGUAGGCGGGCUGCCAAGUCCGGGGUGAAAUCUUUCGGCUUAACCGGAAAAGUGCCUUGGAUACUGGCGGUCUCGAGGGAGGUAGGGGUAUGUGGAACUUCCGGUGGAGCGGUGAAAUGCGUUGAUAUCGGAAGGAACGCCGGUGGCGAAAGCGACGUACUGGACCUCUUCUGACGCUGAGGCGCGAAAGCUAGGGGAGCGAACGGGAUUAGAUACCCCGGUAGUCCUAGCCCUAAACGAUGGGUACUAGGUAGUGGACUUAACAUGGGUUCACUGCCGAAGCAAAAGUGUUAAGUACCCCGCCUGGGGAGUAUGGUCGCAAGGCUGAAACUCAAAGGGAUUGACGGGGGCUCACACAAGCGGUGGAG